This 1121-nucleotide long non-coding RNA is filed under the name Monodelphis domestica (gray short-tailed opossum). Its description in RNAcentral is "lncRNA (ENSMODG00000050710.1)". The record is from RNAcentral. Lineage: Eukaryota; Metazoa; Chordata; Mammalia; Didelphimorphia; Didelphidae.
AUGUAUGAAGUAAAUAAAGAAAAGUAUAUUGACAUUUUCUACAUGAUUGUUUUCCAGGUUGGCUGGAUAGAAUACAACUCUAAUGGAGCCAGUUUUGCUGGAUUUAGACCCCUUCCCAGGCCAUAUUCAGGAAAAAAACUGUUUGGAAAACAACUCUUGGGCCAAAUCUUAAAGGAGGUGGUGUCCACGAGUUGGAGAGAGGGAGGAAGGAAGGAGGAAGGCAUUCCAGUUGCAGAAAGAGAAGCUGAAAGACCAGCUAGGCAUGUGGCAGCUUUGGUGCAAAUGUUUUGGGUUAACCAUGAGUCUGAGAGGCAGAAGUGUAAAUAGGGACAAGCACUACAAAUAGCAACCAGGGCUCUGUCCCCAGUGCAGGAGGGAGAGAAUUUGGGUCAGGCUUUCAGUAACCCCUGCACACACCUCUAGCUAUUUCUAUCAUCUCUAGAGGGUGAUGGGUGGGAAGACAGUCAGUCCAAUGAUUUUAUCUCUCUGGGGAACUUCUGAUAUGGGCAUUCUCUCCAGUAAUGCAGAUCUAAAACUCCGUAAUUUAGUUUUAGAGAGUUGCCUGAGGCACUGAAAGAUUAAGUGACAUCUAGGGUAAUAUGGUGAGUAGGUGUUGGAAACUGGAGUUAAGCCCAAGGCUUCUUGCUCUGAGGCUGUCCUGUUCACUAUGCAGUCAUAUAUAAACACAAAAGACAACAAUCUACACAUCCCUUAGUUCAUACCUUCCAAGGAACUUGACACUAUUCAGUAGAACGAGUCAUUCAGCCUCCCCAAAGCUGUAUUAGUUAAGGAGGCAAGUCUCAGAGAGGAAACCCCUUGCUUCUCUUAAAUCUGUGCCCCAAGACUGGUGAAUAAUCAUUCAUCUCUGCAGAUCAAAGCACACCAUCCUUCAUGCAUUGUUGGGGGGAUUUUAAAUUGUAAAUAUGAUAUGUGUCUUCAAUCAUAACAUGGGGAAUAUGGAAAUACUGAAAAUGAAUGAAUGAAAGCACUAGUAUAACUUAUAUCUGACUACUUAUUGUCUGGGGAGGGGGGAGAAGAAGAAUCACAAAAUGUCAGAAAACAUUUGUCAAAAAUGGUUUCUAUAUGUAAUUAAAAAAUAAAAUUUAAUUAAAUUUUUUAAA